Long non-coding RNA from Cryptotermes secundus, 767 nucleotides. RefSeq lists it as uncharacterized. Lineage: Eukaryota; Metazoa; Arthropoda; Insecta; Blattodea; Kalotermitidae. The record is from RefSeq and is a predicted model, not a curated record. The transcript has 4 exons.
GGCAGGUCGUGCAGAGGUUAAUGGUAAUGACACUCAAGUUUUCAUCAAUGAUCGUAGUGUAACAAGUGAGGUAACGAGUGCUUGUUGUCAUAAAUUUAAAAUAGAACUCAGAUCAGCACAAAAAAUUAUUGAACUGCUACAAGAAGAGAUAAACGCGCCCAGUCGUACCCACCAGAAGAGAUAGUGUCCAACAUCAGGACUGAGCCUGAUAACAGCGAACUGGAGCUACAGAUAGCCCUCAAGAAAGCAUGGAGACUGAAGCUGCAGGAAGCUGUUACAGAAUCAAAGAACAGUGUAGAAAAGGUGGCAGAGUCAGUACUGGAGAGAAACUCAGAAGGAAACACGGAAGGUGGUUCCAUUGUGCUGAAUGCUACAGCAGAAUUCUGCCGUACGUUGGGUGAUGUCCCCAUUUAUGGUCUGACUGGCAACAGAUGACGACGCUCAGGAACUACUUGACUUUGAGAGGGAAAUGAUUGAAGAGAAGAAACGUCAGGAAGAAGGCAAAUGUGGAGCUUGGAAUGAAGUUGAGAUUGGUGAGUCAUUAGCAGAUUCUUUAUGUACAACAUAGGCCUUUCAUAUUAAGAGAUAUUGACACGAUAGUAUUGGUUUUAAUUGUGCGUUUAUAUUUUAAGUAAUUCAUAAAUGGUGUACCGUAUUUAAUCAUAUACUGCAGUUUUGUUAGGAGUUUUAGUAGAAACACAUUAAUCAUUACUGUUUAAUGUAAGUAGCAGUAGGGUAGUUGGUUGAGGCACUAUGCUACAAGUUGG